RNAcentral lists this ribosomal RNA (433 nucleotides) under uncultured bacterium. Its description in RNAcentral is "partial 16S ribosomal RNA". It matches the Rfam family "Bacterial small subunit ribosomal RNA", at positions 29 to 507 of the family's 1533-position model. The record is from RNAcentral.
AACGAACGCUGGCGGCAUGCCUAACACAUGCAAGUCGAACGAGACCUUCGGGUCUAGUGGCGCACGGGUGCGUAACGCGUGGGAACCUGCCCUUAGGUUCGGAAUAACUCCCCGAAAGGGGUGCUAAUACCGGAUAAUGUCUUCGGACCAAAGAUUUAUCGCCUUUGGAUGGGCCCGCGUUGGAUUAGCUAGUUGGUAGGGUAAAAGCCUACCAAGGCGACGAUCCAUAGCUGGUCUGAGAGGAUGAUCAGCCACACUGGGACUGAGACACGGCGCAGACUACUACGGGAAGCAGCAGUGGGGAAUAGUGGACAAUGGGCGAAAGCCUGAUCCAGCAAUGCCGCGUGAGUGAUGAAGGCCUUAGGGUUGUAAAGCUCUUUUACCCGGGAUGAUAAUGACAGUACCGGGAGAAUAAGCUCCGGCUAACUCCGUG